This is a long non-coding RNA of Candoia aspera, 350 nucleotides long. RefSeq lists it as uncharacterized. The transcript has 3 exons. NCBI's taxonomy places the organism in Eukaryota, Metazoa, Chordata, Lepidosauria, Squamata, Candoiidae. The record is from RefSeq and is a predicted model, not a curated record.
GCACGAGUCGAGGGCGCCGCCACAGUCCUCGUGGUUCCCGCCGAGGAAGGUUGUUCGUCAUGCAAGAGGCAGUUCCCGUAACCCGGACUGACAUGGAACAAGCGUUGUAUUGUGCAAGCUUUUGGUCUUAUCCAGAUCUACCCAAAUGUUUCCUUGAUCUGAAGAUUCAACUACAAUAAUGGCAUCUCUAAUAUAUUUUUCUAAUUAACAGUGUGUAACAGAUACAAGAAUUGAAAUUUAACAAGUUUCCCAUUAGUAUGAUCAUUAAUACUAUAACAGAGUUGUGAGUGGAACAGCUGCAAAACUUUUGUUAACUGGAGUCUUACAAAUUUUAUUAAGAAACUGUUCUC